This 4178-nucleotide long non-coding RNA is filed under the name Lynx pardinus (Iberian lynx). The record is from RNAcentral. Lineage: Eukaryota; Metazoa; Chordata; Mammalia; Carnivora; Felidae.
AUUCAAAGCUCACGUCCCUUCAGGUUGAAGCUUAUGAUGCUUUCUGCUAUGAACCCUCGCAAAGUUUCUAGUCUGCAAAACGGAAUUACUUUUAAAGUCCCCUCGUCUGGACUCGCCUCUCCAGACGGGUUGGCGGCAAGGGGAAAUAGGGACGGAGGACGGUUAAGCGUUCAAACAAAAUUUUAAAACCUAAAAACCAAUCCUGUUUUCAGAGGAGAAAGUAAGCGUUCACCAAACCGCCACCCGGCAAGCGAACAUCCGAUUUCCAUUUGGAGAGAAAAAUGUUAAAGAAGCCAUACAUACAUUUCCCUGCCCAACAAAAGUGGCCUCUAAACUCCCCUGCCAAGGACACUGGGAGGAAACAGAGAAGCAGGACACAAGCUUGUACUUCUCAGAGGCGCGUGUGCGCGGCGGGCAGAACGCGCAAAGGCGAACACAACAGGGAAAAGGUGAACCGGAGGAACUGGGAGCCAGUGGCCGCAGGGUAGAACCGGCGAAGAAACCCAAGGUGCAGACGGAGGGGUGAGGGGGCGGGGAAGGGAGAGCCCGAGGCUCCAGGAGGAGAAGGGAGGGAUCCUAGACGUUGCCCAGAAAUCGCAGCAGCGGAGUAAAGUUAAUACUUACUCAGUUUCGCAACUGCGCCGCCCCCGCAGGCCGCCCGCCCAGGCCGGCCGGGGCGCUGAGGACGCGACGGCGUCCGAAGCUCGGCGGCCGCCCAGCUCCUGUCCCGGCCGUGCCGCCCGGCGCGCCUCCCUCCGCCGCACUCGGCGGGCCGCACGCCCCGCACCGGCUGGAGGCCCCGGCUCCCGGCGCGUCCUCUCGGCGCACCUCCCGGCCAGCGCUAGGUGAGUGUGGACGCCCCUGGCUGAGCUGCCGCGGUGUGGGAGCGCUCGGGCAGCGGCUGUGCCGCCCGCAGGAGCCGCCCCCAGCGCCGCCGCCGCUGCCGCGGGCGGUCUAGCGAGGCUCGGCGAGGAGCGGGGCGGCGAGCGUUGUGCCGGACGGCGGAGUUGGCGGCCGGCUCGCCCCCGCGGCCGGUGCCUCUGGGCUGGGGGCCGGGCUGGGGGCCGGGCCGGGCUCGGGCACCCGGGCGGCUCCGCCCCUUCGCCGGGCCGCGGGUAGAGCGCGCGCGAGGAGCGGCGCGGGGGCGCCCCCCUCGGCCGGGCGCUCGGGUUACAGCCCCGGCUCUCCGGCUUCCCCGCCCGCUCCUUGCCGGUUCACUCGCGCCGUGAGAGACAUUGUAACGGAACUGGGACGCCAGCGCUGCAUUGUGGGAGCUUUUAAAGCGGCGGGGAGCGCGGCGCAGCCGCUCGGGCCCACCGGGCCAAGCUCACCCCGGCGCCCCUAGCUCGGCCCCGCCGCCGCUCGCCCCACCCGACCGCCGAGGCCUAUGGACCAGAAAAGCCAGAAAUGGUGAGGUGACCAGUGCCUACUGACUCUCACAGGAGCAAAAUCUUCCAGAGCUCCGGGUGAGACUUGUAAAACUGCCCUCUACGGUCAUGUCGGAAAGUAGGAGGCUUAUUCUGCAGACGCUUAAAAAAGAAAAAAAGGAAAGAAAACAAAACAAAACCUUCCAUCCUCCAAGGACUGGGUUUGAAUUGCUUUUCAUCUGGAGUGGCAGUGAUUCAGCGACCCCCUUCUCAGCGGCAGGCAGUGACAGAGACAGGAGAUGAAAAACACAGCGAAUGAAUCAGACGUGAGUAACCAAGUUUAGAAAGAACUGGGCUCACAUUCAGAAAACUGCUCCCCCCCCCCCGACCCUUAAAUACAGCAAAUAGUCGAGGAAGAAAACCAGUGCUUUCAUCUGGAAAUGCAGAUAUGUAUGUGGUUCUCCCUAUCCCACCUUUUUUUUUUUUUUUUUUUAAAUGGCACGCAAUUACUCUAGCCACUGGACAAAAUUCAGUCUUUGGUCCAGGCUUGUGCUCACACAUGCCCACAACUCAGCAACAGCUAUUAAUUUGGAGGGAGAUGGAGUGAAGAUAAUGGUCGAGAUACAAGAAAACAUUCCAAUUAUAAAAUGCCCCUUUUAAUUCUCCAGACAGUUUUCUUUCUUUUUUUUUUUUUUAAAUCAAAACAAGGAUAUUAAAUUUGAAGCACAACUUGGUACAGCUUCUCUUACCAAAGACCUGAUUUGUUUUGUUUUGAGUUUGUGUUUGUAGGUCUUUUGUUUCUUCCUCUUGUUUUUUGACCUUUAGUUAUUGCACAGCUCAUUAGUUCCUUUGCCUUUGAGGUGAACUGAGGAGAAAGAGAGAUCAGUGAGACUCAAAUUUGGCUGAUAAACAUUUGGAGGAUUUGUGGACAAGGAGACUUCUCUAGGAUUCAAAUGCAAACCCUGAGGGAAUUUUAUUUAAGGUGAUUCCUUAGGGCAUGGAUCCUCUUCUCAAGAGGACUUUUCCAGACUUACCCUUAACAUUUCCUAAACUCUCAUUCCCUUGUCAACCUUUCACUCCACUGAACAACAUCAGUCACCCACCUCAUUGCCAAAUCUAAUGGAAAAAUUUAAUCCGCAUUUUGUUAUGCCCUUUGUGGCAUUUGCCAAUUUUGACCUCUUCCUUCCUUGAACUUUCCUCCCCCCACCCUUUUUUGUUGUUGUUGAUAGUCCUCCCUUUUUGGUGGAGGUCUUGAAACAGGGGUGAGUGAUAGCUGGCAGAAGUGUGGCUAUUGUUAAACUAGGAUUCAGGAUCUUACUGAAGGACAUAUCUUUUAUCUUUCUGUAAGGGGAAUGGAAGUAGAAGAAGAACCUUAAUCUGGUUUCUGUUGGUCACCAGUAGCGUCCUGACCUCAAUUUUAUCACACAUCCAGAGGUGAACAGUGGACUGGCUUAUGACAACCGACUUUCACAUGACUAGCAUUUAAAUCAGGAUGAAGUUGACUGUGAUAGUAUAACCGUGACCAAUAUUUAGGAUAAACACUUACUAGGCUCCAGGUACAUGAUGAAGUAUCCCCGCCUCCAAACCAGCGUGUGUCUUACUGAUGGUGCCAGAGUCAAGUGAAUUUAUCUCUGUCCAGUCCUGAAUCAACCCAGAAAAAUCUCUUCUCUACCUCAACCCCAUAUGGUUAAUACAUUUUUUCUUCAGUGUAGAGUGCAAUUUGUUUUAAGCUUUCUUAGCUAUAAUCACAUCCCUAUUAAGCUUUCCUGAGAUCAUACCAAAUGUCCUUGACAGGAUUUUGUAAACAACUCUUAUUUCUGGUUUCUAAUAUAUUCCCCAAAAGUAAUCUACCUAGAAUCAGUGAGUAUUCAUGCACCUUAAGCCCUGUGACAUAAUCAGAUUUGACUUUCAGGAAAAUAAUCUGAGAGGGUAGAUUCAGAAAAGAGGAGAAUCCCAAGAAAGAUUUGUGAAGGGGGAGGGGGACACCAUCUAGAGAUAUAUUACUGUGUAUUAUUAUUUUCCUAUUGCUACUAAAAAAGUUACCACAAACUUAGUGGCUAAAAUCAAGAUGUGUUAUCUUGCAGUUCUGGAGGUCAGAAAUUCUAAAGUCAAGGUGUGGGCUGUGUUCCAUCUAGAGUCUCUAGGGGAGAAUCCAUUGCUUUGUUUUUUCUAGUUUGUAGAUGCUAUCUGAUUUCCUUGGCUUGUGGCCUCUUCCUCCGUAUUUAAGGCAAUAGCAUACAUAUCAUCUUCAAAUCUGUCUCUCUUCUUGUGACCUCUGCUUCAUGGUUAGGGGCUAUCUUUCUCUCUAAGGUAGGCAAAGAAAAUAGGAAUUGAUGUAGAUACAUUUCUAGCCAUAUAUGUUACAAACUGAAUUGAACCGGAUUAUUUGUAGGAAGAGAUGAGUGUUUUAAUUAUUAGUCACAGCAUCAUAGGGAUAACUUAUUUGGCUGUAAAAUUGCUGAAGUGGUGACCCAUUAGUCCAGCUAAACCUAUAUCCGUCCUGGUCACCCGUGUAACUGAAACCCAAGGUGUAAACACACUCAGAAAACCAGGUUCAGAUCUGCACUUUCUGGGGAUAAUUCCCUUUCUCUGGAAAUGCCUGGCAACUCUUUUUUAUGGUGUCUAGUAGACUCAUAUUGCCAAGUUUGAGAAACAUGUGUCGAGACCAACAUUUCCCAAACUGGCCUACCAGGGAACAUCAUCCUGUAAGAUGGGAUGCUGGGAAGACAGUUGCUCCAUGCUUGGAUAAGGUCCAUAGAACACAGUUGUGAUUACAGUUUAGGCCAACCAAGAACCUUGUCAGUGGGACAG